UUGCACAUGUCUUCCCCGCCACUGCCUACGUGACCGCAAGGCGAAGGUUGAUUAAGGCAUUGGAUAGGCCGAUUCAUGGAACCGAAGGAGACGAGACCGGGGGCGUAGUUGUGGCGACGACGGUGGUAGACGAGGACAACAGUGGUGAGGGAGGGUGACACGAGUGAUUGCUCGAAGGUGGCCUUGAGGACUACUAAGGAGGAGGCCUGACGCAUGAGCGGCUAACUAAUAGGUCAUUGAGGAUGGAGAGGAUGAGCUGCUCGAGCCUGACUUUAAUGGUGAGCAGGGGAUAUUAUGUGGCCUCGAGACAUCCCAGUGCUUCUGCGCUUAUGCUCGUUUUAGCGUCGCGAUAAGCGUGUUCAACAACGGCGGCUCUGAUUGUAAUAUCUUAGCCCUAGUGGAUAGUGAUAUCUUAGCCCAAGACUUAAUAGAAUUAAUAAAGUAUUCAUACCAACAAUAUGCAUCUUCUUUUUCGGAAGUAUGUCUUCAAAGAACCUCUUAGUUAAGUGUGCUUGGUCUACCACAAUCUUAGGACGGGUGACCGACCAGGAAGUCUUCUCGAGUGCGCAUAAGUGAGGACAAAGUGCGCACAAAAGACUCGUGUUGAUCUGUGGGGAUGGUCUAUGAUCCUAAAGGCUGCCAAGAGUAAAUAUCGUCGGUCGGGGAGUAGGCGUGGUGUUACAAAUGGUAUAAGAGCCGACCCUCGCGGUUUCACAGGCGUGUAUGGGCUAGGAGUUCGGGCAUAUGGCACAUGUGGGCCUGGAGUGGUCACAUGGAAAUAGCAUAUGACGACACUGGACACACAAUCGUGGCCAAGAGGGGAGGUUCCUAGCUUAGGGUUGACCGACAAGGACGUCGGUCUGCUAAAGGGGUGGAUUGUGAUAUCCUGCCCCUAAUGGAUGGUGAUAUCCUAGCCUAGGGCUUAAUAGAAUUAAUAGAGUACUCAUACCAACAAGAUGCAUCUUCUUUUUUGGAAGCGUAUCUUGAAGGAACCUCCAGAUUAAGAGUGCUUGGCCUAGAGAAAUCUUGGGAUGGGUGACUGACCGAAAAGUAUUCUUAGGUGUGCAUAAGAACAAAGUGCGCACAAAAGACUCGUGUUGGUCUGUGGAGAUGUUAUAUGAUCCUAAAGGGUUGCUAGGAGUAAGUACCGCCAGUCUGGGAGUGGACGAGGUGUUACACCGAUGUAUGUGUCGUCACUAUCACCGUGAGAAGCACACGUUUGAGGGAAGGGAAGCUUCGUGAGAGCUAGGAGGCCAUCUUGUCGUCAUCGAAGCCAUACAUCGAAGAGGAGUUGCUACACAGCGAGCACGACAAGAGGGUUCCGAGCUAGCACAGGAGUGAAUGUGCGGAGGCAGCGGUAGCGAGCCCACCACAUUUAGCAAAUGAAGAAUACAUCCUCUAUCGUAGCAGAGAUUUUAGCGCGACAUGCUGGAGGAAGAAAGGAGCCCAAACACUAAAUGUAGCGAACUGAACGGUUUAUUGUGUCCUGCUGGAGAUAGCUUAAAGUGUAGAAGACUUUGUGGAUAUAGUCUUAGAGAUGUUGCUAGAUGUUGCUCACUUGCAUGCAAUGAUAACGUAAACGGUAGACGAACGAUGAGGCUAUAUUUAGUGUUUAGACGUGUUUAAACGAAAUUAAACGGUCUAAACAAUUUUAUACUAUAGCAACAUUUUAGCAAGAUUACUUUCACUAACCUUUUUUGAAGUAAACACAAAGCUUUUGAUGUCCUCUCCAUCUAAACCAUGUACCUACAAAAGAAGGGUUCAUAGUUAGUAUGUAAUAUGUAAAUUUUAGCAAGAGUACAUGAAUAAAUCCACAUAUAUAUUUGGUUUAGCAAUACAAAAUUAUGAUAGAUGGACAACAGCUCAGACAUAACAUAUUACAUAUCCAUAUAACCAAAAUGACCAAUUCAAGACAACUAAACUCAGCCCCUAUUUUAGCUAAUUAUAGAACAACUAAAACAUGUUAGAAGAAGACAUAUUCAUGUAUAGAAUGUGUCAAGAAACCAAAGGAAAGAAGACAAGAUCGGGUAGAGAAGGUGAGGGAACCCUAACAGUAACAUACCAAUGCAGAUGAGCCUGCCACAUUUUGGGCCUAUCAAUAAAACUGCCCAAUAAAUAGGCUAAACAGCGUUUAAACCUGUUCCGUUUAGCUUGUUUUGACCGAACGUUGACCGUUUAAAUGAGUCAACUGUUUAGAGGACCAUCUAGGCCUUAAACUGCACGGUGUUCCUCCGUUCAUCGUUUAGACCCAUUUAAAUGGUCAUCUAAAACUGUUUAGGGUAACACUGCUUGCAUGAAAUCGGAGUUGGAUGAGGAAGAUCUAACAAAGAGAAGAACAUUGCAAAUGGAAGGACAGAGGUGGAAAAGAGAAGUUUUAGAGUGCAGAAGACUUUGUGAAGGUAUUUUUUUAUUCACUCAUGUGGACUCCACUAUAUACCUCUAACCCAAAACAAAUCAAAAGCAAAGAACAUGGGUAUGGGCAGAAGUGCUAGUAUCCCUAUCUAUUUCCUUUCCUUCUCUUUUUACGACAUGUACAGCCCUGAUCCCCUAGAUUGGUUUUCAAUGUAAAAGAGACAACUAAGAGGCUGCAUUAAUACAACUCUGAGCUCCUAAAUAAUAAAUAUAGUUAAGAGGCAAUAGGUAUAGAGAGUCGUGUAGAGACAGUCUUUUGACAAAGUGAACCAUCUCUUGUACUUUUUUUAUUUAGCUCCCUAAAGAUCAAUCAAGAGACCCUUUAUUAAAUGGUAUUGUACAUAUACCAUAUCCCACUAUAUUUCCUAUUCCCUAUCCAAUAUCCAUAGCUUCAUCCAAACGCCACUUAAACCUACACAGGUCUGCUACGGGCCUAAAUCCUCCCUCCCCAUUAAUCAGCCACGGCCCCACUAAGCCCGUUUGCCGCAUAAGCCCACCCCCCGGGUAGCUUACAUUUCAGUCCUAGGCACAGUUGCAGCAAAAACACAGCAAAUUUGUAAGCGAUGAUCGACUCUGAAAGACGACCGUUUGCUAAAACUUCAGCCAACCCCCCCCCCCCCCCCCCCCCCCCCCUCCCCCCGGGUUUUGAAAGCCAUCACCAGCUGGGAAACACUUCAUCUGGCAGAGUUCAGUAGACCACGGACCAGCCCAAAUUUGAACUGUACCGAACAUCAUAUUCAUGCCGGCUGGUCUGUCAACUAUUCCUCCAUAGGAUUUGACCGUAAGCAACGAUUCAGUCCUUGGCUGCAUCCAAGGCAACAAUUCAAAGAUCUCAUUUUCUUUCCGAAUUACUAUAUGUGAACCAGCUACCACCUCAUGUACAUGCGACGACUUUUGCACCACCUCACCCAUCUUUUUUCAACAUGAGUGGAAUCCAGUUCGCCAAAGUAAACAACGACCAGGCCAGAUGACCAGCGAACUUCUGUCCAGGCGUCCAGGCCAGAUGACCAGCUAUAAGGCACAUAGUUCUAGUACAAUACAUACUAGUACUAAAUACAAAAACAACAGUGCUUCAAUGCUUCAUGCACUGAUAUAUUUUCUAGAGCCAUACCAAAACCAUGAGGGCUCUAGAAACUUCGUUCACCCCGCUAUCAACGAUACUACUAGCAGCUUGUUCACUUAACUUUAAUCUGUACCGGCUUCUAUUAUUUCUACAUUGUUUUUGUCUCCAUGGAUUACGACUAUAGCAAUCCAAACAGCCUUGUUUUUUCUUAUUCAGAAGAUUACUGAGUUUUGCCAUUUUUUUCUUUUCUUUUGCUGAACCUUGAUAGCCACCGUCAAUCCUUGGAGAGCAAGGACAGUUUUGCCAAUGAGGAAAGACUGUGACCAAAAAUGACAGUUUGACUACUAGCAGCCACCAUUGUUAAGCGCCCACAAUCCUCUGCAACCAUAAGGAAAGUUUGACUAUGAGAAAGACUCGUACAAAAAGGACGGCUUGACUAAUGACUACUAUAGUAGCCACCAUGCUUUCAUGGAUUGAAAGAAACAUUCUACCAAAUCCUUGACAUGACGUGUCCUGGAACUUUGUGCAAACUUCCCAUGGGUCAGCCUCAUGCAAAUAAUAAAUCCUUCAUUUUAGCAAUGCAAAUCUGUACCAAGUCAGUCUCAAGUUUUGGAUAAGUAGUACCUACAGGUCGUGUGACCACACAGCAAAAUUAAAGAACUUCCAAUGUGCAAACCACAGCGCACGACCAAUGGAGGAGUAGAAAAGUACAGACAUGGUGGCGAACCAAAACAUUACCUUGUUCAUCCUGUCCGUAGGCCUUAGUAUUGCUGGAUUCACUGCUGGGGACGACGACCAAUUCGUCUACACCGGCUUCGCUAGCAGCAACCUAACCCUCGAUGGUGGAGCGACAGUCACGCCGAGCGGCCUCCUUGAGCUAACCAAUGGCACCGUUCGGCAGAAAGGCCAUGGAUUCCACCCCAGUUCGGUGCUCUUCUACGAGUCCUCUAGUGGUGCAGUGCAGUCUUUCUCUGUAUCCUUUGUGUUCGCCAUUCUCUCUACCUAUCCUGAGACUGAGAGUGGUCAUGGCCUAGCUUUCUUCAUUGCGCCAGACAAGAAUUUAUCGGGUUCAUUCCCAACCCAGUACUUGGGCCUCUUCAGUGACCAGACCAAUGGUGACCCAAACAGCCACAUCUUUGCAGUUGAGCUCGACACCGUCCAAAAUUAUGACCUACAGGACAUCAACAGUUACCAUGUUGGCAUCAACGUCAAUAGUCUACGCUCCAUCCGAUCCCAUGAUGCAGGCUACUAUGAUGAUAAAAGUGGUUUGUUCAAAGAUCUGUCACUCGAUAGCCAUGAGGCGAUGCAAGUGUGGGUGAACUACAACAGAGAAACCACACAGAUCAAUGUCACCAUAGCUCCCCUCAAUGUCGCCAAACCAGUGAGGCCAUUGCUGUCUGCUAACUACAAUCUCUCAGCAGUCAUCACUAAUCCGGCGUAUAUUGGUUUCUCAUCCUCAACAGGCUCUGUUAGUGGGCAACACUAUCUGCUUGGUUGGAGCUUUGGCAUCAACAGUCCUGCUCCACCAAUCGACAUUACCAAGCUGCCAGAGAUGCCUCGUCUUGGUCAGAAGGCUCGGUCGAAAGCAUUACAGAUAACUCUGCCAAUAACAAUUCUGGCUCUGUUCCUUGCUGCAAGCAUUACUAUUUUUUUAUUCGUGCGGAGGAAGCUAAGAUAUGCUGAACUACGUGAAGAUUGGGAGGUUGAGUAUGGGCCUCACAGGUUCUCAUACAAGGAUUUAUUCGAUGCCACAAGAGGAUUUAGAGAAGCUAACCUGUUAGGUACAGGAGGGUUUGGAAUGGUGUACAAGGGGAUUCUCCGUGGAUCCAGACUGAAUAUUGCUGUGAAGAGGGUGUCACACGACUCAAAACAGGGCAUAAAGGAGUUUAUAACAGAGAUUGUUAGCAUCGGCCAUCUUCAACAUCGUAACCUGGUGCCCUUAUUGGGGUACUCCCGGCGGAAAGGCGAGCUUCUCUUAGUGUAUGAUUACAUGCCCAAUGGAAGCCUCGACAAAUACUUGUAUGGUAAAGAGGGCAAGCCUACUUUAGAUUGGAAUCAAAGGUUCCAAAUAAUCAAAGGAGUAGCAUCUGGUUUACUCUACCUUCAUGAGGAGUGUGAGAAAGUCAUCAUACAUUGUGACAUCAAGGCAAGCAAUGUGCUCAUCGAUAAUGAGAUCCAUGGGAGGAUUGGUGAUUUUGGUCUCGCGAAAUUGUAUGACCAUGGCACUGACCCAGAAGCCACACAUGUGGUUGGCACCAUAGGAUACCUGGCUCCGGAGGUAGCACGCACUGGCAGGGCAACCCCUCUGACGGAUGUUUUUGCCUUCGGUAUAUUCAUUCUUGAGGUCACAUGUGGGCAGAGGCCUAUCAAGCAAAGUACCCAAGACAGGCAGGUAAUGUUAGUUGACUGGGUGCUGGAACAUUGGCAUAAGGGAUCACUUACUGAUACAGUGGACAUCAAAAUUCAAGGUGAAUAUGAUAUUGAUGAGGCAUGUCUAGCACUGAAGCUAGGAUUGUUAUGCUCCCACCCAUUCACUAGUGCAAGGCCAAAUAUGAGGCAAGUCAUGCAGUACCUCAACAAAGAAAUGCCAAUACCAGAGUUAACACCAAACUUAAGCUUUUCCAUGCUAGCCUUGAUGCAGAAUGAUGAGCUGAUAAUGCACUGUCCAUCAGAAAUAGGCUUCGGCACAAUAUCUACCAUCUCAGGAGUCAGGAGGUAGAUGACUAGAUGCUAUGGGGCUUGACAGUGGCAGGCACAGGUCUUCAAUGUUUGCAUGCACAGUUGCACACAUAGUCAAUGUUCCAUAAAGAUGAAGACAUGAAGUAAACUCUAUAAAAUAGAGUCGCUUAAUAUUUUUUUAUGCUCUUCCUUUGUCUGUUUUAGACUAAAUUACCCCAUUGUUUGUGUGCUCGUUAAAUUCAUCUUUGUCAUUCUCGAAUUAUAUUCAAUCUCAUUUUCAUUCAUAAACAUACAAUUUUCUUGUCAUUAAAAUAAAAUCCAUAUAACUGGACAAGAUUUCUCCAAGACAACGAGAAAAUACAUCACAAUCGCAGACAUAGUCAAUGAAACCAAGGAAAGUGACUGCAUUGAUGGUAAUGACUAAAUCAGAGCAUUUUUUGAGAUAUUUUAAAGAAAUGGGACAUGUACACGGACAGAAAGGGAUUUUAAUGGUCCAGAGCUUGACUUGAGAAACACACUAGAUCAUAACAUAAUAUGUGUUGUUUACUCAUAUUUGAGAAUAAGAGCUCCACUUAGUGUUAUGAACCACAACCACAUACCAUGCGAGGUGUGCAAUUGAGAUAUACCAGUGCUAAUAAGGCAUCUGGUUGAUAAGUGAUCCAUACGUAGUCAAAGGAAGAACUGAAUCAUAUCAUACAUCAAAAAGUAUGAAUCAGUUGUAUUUCAUAUAAUAAUAAAUCUAUUUCGACCUUAUUAACCGGCCAAUAUCUAGAUAAACUAAACACAGGGAGCAAACAUGGUCAGCGAGAUUAAUGAAAAUUGAAAGCAGUGAUUGUACAGAAAUCCUACCACAGCACGCAUUUCUUGAUAUAUUCCUAACAACUGGGACAUAGAGACAAUGGGCAAGGAAAUUUCAUUCUCAACAAAUUGUCCCAAGAGACACGAAUACUUGACACUAGACAUGUUGAUCAACCUAAUGAACAAGCACAUGGCCACUAUGUUAAGCUAUGAAAAUAACCAUGAAAGCAGCAUUGGAUUUUUAGUAGCUGAAAUUACUUUUGACCAAUAAACUUUUUCACUGAAAGUCAAGUCCUAAUGUAUUAGUUAAACUAAAAUAAGUCAUAACUAGCCAUCCAAUUAAAAAAAGACUACCUGCUCUCCACUGAGCAGGCCUGAUGCACUGGUGAGAAGCCUUUUUAUUGAGCCAAAGAUCCUAGGUUCGAUGCAGUCUCUCUGUAAAAAAUGCAUGUUAAGGCUUGUCUCGGUUAUUCCUUCCCCAUACCUCACUUAUAGAAGCCUCUAGCACUGGGUCUGUCCUUUUUACCUACCCUGGAGGUAGCAAGAACCAAAAGAGCCAACUGUAGUACAUUAAGAGAAAGAAGUCCUCACAAUGUGAAACCUUCAAAGAAAAUGUAUGGAAAAAAUCAACAGGUCAAAGUAUCUAGCAAAUGUUUGAACCUGAACAAAUAGCUAACUUCACUGAUUCAACAUCCACUGACAGUGACUCAAUUAUUGAAUGACAUAUGUCUUCGAAGAAAAGUAAACAUUAAACACCUUACCGGUUCAAUUCCACUAUAUAUUAACAACAAACUGAGACUAGAUGUAGAGGACAACUGCAAGCCCCAGGUAGCUCAGAAAAUACUUUGCUCUUGCAUCCUUCUUGAGCUACCACAAGUUACAUCCAUGCCUGAAAAGAAACAUAAGUGGCUCAUUCUAUACCAUCUUCUCUACCUUUCCAUCCUCAACUUUACAUCCUUCAUCAUUGCUGGUGAUCAAUUCGUCUACUCCAGCUUCAGAGAAGCAAAUCUCAGCCUAGACGGCACUGCCACAAUCAAACCAGAUGGGCUCCUUGAGCUAACCAACGGUAGCUUUAAUCUCAAAGGCCAUGCAUUCUACCCAACUCCUCUGCAUUUCCGCAAGUCAUCAGGUGAAAAUGUGAAAUCCUUCUCAGUCACCUUCAUCUUCAGCAUCCUCUCUGCCUACCCUGACAAGAGUGCAGAUGGCAUGACCUUCUUAGUCACAACAAACAAGAAUUUCUCUGAUGCAUUUCCAGCCCAGUACCUAGGACUCCUCAAUGAUCAGAACAACGGCAAUCCAAACAACCAUAUCUUUGCGGUUGAGCUUGACACCAUACAAAACAGUGAGUUCGAGGAUAUCAACGACAACCACAUUGGCAUUAAUAUUAAUGGUCUCCACUCGGUACAAUCCCAGGGUGCUGGUUUCUACGAUGACAAAAACGGUAUGUUCAAGAACAUGUCACUCAUUAGUCGUGAGGUGAUGCAGGUGUGGGUGGAAUAUGAUGGAUGGACCACACAGAUCGAUGUAACCUUGGGUCCCAUUAAAAUGGCUAAACCUAAUAGGCCACUAGUCUCAGCCAUCUACAAUCUAUCAACAGUUCUCACAGAUACAUCAUACAUUGGAUUCUCAUCUUCAACUGGUGUAAUUAACUCAAGAUAUUGCUUGCUUGGUUGGAGCUUCAGUAUGAGCAACACAACUCCAGAGAUUGACAUCACCAAGCUGCCAAAGUUACCUCGUGUUGGCUCCAGGUCACCAUCAAAGGUCCUGACAAUCAUUCUUCCAACAGCCAUUGCAUCAUUCAUCUUUGUUACUGGAAUCACCAUCAUUUUACUGGCACGGAGGAAAUUGGCAAACAAUGAGCUACAGGAAGAUUGGGAGGUUGAGUUUGGACCACAUCGGUUCACAUACAAAGAUCUGUUCCUUGCCACUGAAGGAUUUAAGAAUAAGAAUGUGCUGGGUGCAGGAGGAUUUGGGAAGGUGUAUAAAGGUAUACUUCCAACAUCUAAAUUAGAAAUUGCAGUGAAGAGGUUGUCACAUAACUCAAAGCAAGGAACAAAAGAGUUCAUCACUGAGAUUGUUAGCAUUGGCCACCUUCGACACCGAAAUCUCGUGCAGUUACUAGGCUAUUGCAGGCGAAAAGGUGAACUUCUAUUGGUAUAUGACUACAUGCCAAAUGGUAGUCUUGACAAGUUUCUAUACUGUGAAAAUGACAAACCUUCACUGGAUUGGGCUACAAGAUUUCACAUCAUAAAAGGAGCUGCAUGUGGCCUGCUCUACCUUCAUGAGAAGUGGGACAAAGUUGUAAUCCACCGAGACAUCAAAGCAAGCAAUGUGCUUCUUGAUAGCAAAUUCAAUGGACGGCUAGGAGACUUUGGCCUUGCAAAGUCAUAUAACCAUGGCACAGACCCACAGACCACACGUGUGGUUGGCACCAUGGGUUACCUGGCCCCAGAAUUGGUACGCAUGGGUAAAGCAUCCCCACUUACAGAUGUGUUUGCCUUUGGCACAUUCCUUCUUGAAGUGACAUGUGGGCAUAGGCCUGUAAAGCAAAAUGAGCUAGGUGAGCAUAUUAUGUUGGUUGAUUGGGUACUUGACCAUUGGCAGAAAGGAUCAUUGGUGGAGACAAUAGACAAGAGGCUAGAAGGUAACUGCAACAUAGAUGAGGCGUGCCUGGUUUUAAAACUUGGGCUCUUGUGCUCACAACCAUUCGCUAGUGCAAGGCCUAGUAUGCAUCUUGUAAUUCAAUACCUUAAUGGUGGCAUGCAGUUGCCAGAGUUCACACCAUCAGAUAUAAGCAUCAACAUGCUAGCCUUUAUGGAAAAUAGGGGAUUCAAUCCUUCCUUGAUUUCAUACCCACAGCUGACAAUGAGUGUUGGCACAAUGUCAAGCCUCUCAGGUGGAAGGUAAAAAUGAUUUGAGGUCAUUAAUCAGAGCAAUAGCAGGUUUCUUUUGUAUAUUACACGGGGUGAUAUCUAUUAUUGCAUAUUUCAGAAUUAAAAUUUUUAGGGUGUAUUUGAUUUGAGCAACCACCUCAUGCUACAUGACCUGUUGCAUCAUGAAUUCAUUACAGGGGUGUUUGGUUUGAAGAAUGAGUUAGUCUAUCAUCUAUUCAUUUCUCACUUUUUUGUUUGGUUUAUGGUACAGUGUUUUCAAGUCGUCUGACUAUUUGUGAUUAGUCAGUCUAAUCGGUACUCGGUAGGUAUCAACCGACCAGCCCCACCGAUGCGACUAGGCCGACCAAAAUAUUAGUAUUAGACAUGGGAUGACCAGUUUAGAGUUUAAACAUGACUGUAGAUGGGCUUUUGAAGCAGGGGAACUUGUAGGCUGCAAUUUGCUUUGUGGGCAUCUAGGGUUGAGAACGCUCAGGCAAGAACUCCAGUCCCAAUCUGCACAGGCGCACAGCCGCCCUCCAGCCUAUAGUCAGCACAGCAGCCCUCCAGUCGGUAGCUAUACGAUUAGGUUCAACUAGACGACUUGAAAACAUUGUUAUAAUGUUAUGUAUAAUAUGAUGAUGCACCAUCACCUCAAGUCAAUAAUUAAUACUAGUACAAGGAAUGAAGUCAUUCCAUCAUAAUUGAGGAAUUAACUCAUGAUGCACCUCAUAUAGGACCAUGCAUAUAUUAGUUAUUAGCUUCGAAGGAAUAAGGUGGUGAUGGAUCAACUCAUUCCAUCUUACAAACCAAACAAAAAAGUGAGGCGUGAGAAAAUGACAUACCACAGCAUUCCUUAAUCAAACACACCACAUGCUGCACUUGCAUAGCAGCGUGUGAUUAUGUAUCUAGAUGCUAUAUUCACUUAUUCAGUAUUCAAAUGGUCGAACCAAAGUACGCACACGGGGAACUGCUACCAUUAUCUUGUAAUAAAAUUAUGAUCAAACUAUAUCUUUUUAUUUGGUCAAUUUCCUUUACAAUACUGACUUAGACGCCCUAGUGCCUAAACCACACACGCAUCCAUAAGGUUCAGCAAUCACACGCAGAACCUCAACCAACUUGGGUACGGUUGUCUGAAAUCAGAAAGAUUGCAUCUUGAAAGAAACGGAAGCGUACCAAUUGUGGUUGAGCAGAGGACAUCAGGUAAGCAUCAUCGCUUCCUGGCUACCAACGAAAGCGUGCCCAUUGGCCAUCACGUGCACCACCGGCAGGACUACUGGUAGGCCGACGGCCGCCGCGCAAACUGCACCCUUGUUUAGAGACGCCGAGCCGCCGAGGGUGAGCCGCCGCAGGAGCAGAGAACGCGGCGGGCGGAAUGGGCGGAUCAGGGGCGGAGCCAGGAUUAC
This 11228-nucleotide long non-coding RNA is filed under the name Zea mays. Its description in RNAcentral is "long non-coding RNA (ZMAY_LNC005322)". The record is from RNAcentral. Lineage: Eukaryota; Viridiplantae; Streptophyta; Magnoliopsida; Poales; Poaceae.